Molecule: ribosomal RNA, 375 nt
Filed under: uncultured bacterium
Lineage: Bacteria
Description: bacterial SSU rRNA
Rfam family: Bacterial small subunit ribosomal RNA
Source: RNAcentral
GAACGGGUGAGUAACACGUAGGUAACCUGCCGUUUGAGACUGGGAUACCCGAGCGAAAGUUCGGCUAAUACCGGAUAACAACGGAGACGGCAUCGUCUCCGCUUGAAAGGUGCGUUUGCACCACUCUUAGAUGGACCUGCGGCACAUUAGCUAGUUGGUGAGAUAACAGCCCACCAAGGCAAGGAUGUGUAGCCGACCUGAGAGGGUGACCGGCCACAAUGGGACUGAGACACGGCCCCAUACUCCUACCGGGAGGCAGCAGUAGGGAGUUUUCGGCAAUGGGCGAAAGCCUGACCGAGCAACGCCGCGUGAGUGAUGAAGGUCUUCGGAUUGUAAAGCUCUGUUACAAGGGACGAAUACCACGAUCAGGAAAUG